CUUCUAUAUAUAUAUAUAGAAAAGCUGAGUGAUUGACAGAUCUAUCAAGCACAGCUGAAACUACUUGACAGAUCGG
Molecule: long non-coding RNA, 76 nt
Organism: Maniola jurtina (meadow brown)
Lineage: Eukaryota; Metazoa; Arthropoda; Insecta; Lepidoptera; Nymphalidae
Exons: 3
Source: RefSeq, a predicted model, not a curated record